UACGUAGGGGGCAAGCGUUGUCCGGAUUUAUUGGGCGUAAAGAGCGUGUAGGCGGCCAUACAGGUCAGCUGUGAAAACUCGAGGCUCAACCUCGAGACGUCGGUUGAAACCGUAUGGCUAGAGUCCGGAAGAGGAGAGUGGAAUUCCCGGUGUAGCGGUGAAAUUCGUAGAUAUUCGGAAGAACACCAGUGGCGAAGGCGGCUCACUGGCCCGUUACCGACGCUCAGGCGCGACAGCGUGGGGAGCAAACAGG
Molecule: ribosomal RNA, 253 nt
Filed under: uncultured bacterium
Lineage: Bacteria
Description: partial 16S ribosomal RNA
Rfam family: Bacterial small subunit ribosomal RNA
Source: RNAcentral